AUGCAAUGAAGUACAAUGAAAUUCAAGUUAACUGAUAUUUCUUGCUACAGGAUCAAAACUAUGCAUUGCUAAGAACAGAAACUGUUUAAUGAGGAAACAACACGAAAAAUUGAUGAUAUUGGCAGCUUUGUACAAGUUGGAGACCUGAUAUGAAACAAAUGUUGAAGUGGAACGUCUUGGGGAGGAGGCUCUUGGUCAUUACAAAGUGGCUGGCAGCAGAUGUUCUGAGAAUCCCCAAGCCUCCUCUGACCCUCCUACUUUCCUGGCACUGGAACAUGGAACUCACAGCUGAUAGCAUCAUGAAGACAGAAGACAUUUUAGGAAGGGGCCAAGGACAAAAUAAUUUUCUACAAGCAUGCCCACAAGUGACCCAUUUCCUUCAGGUAGGCCCCAUCUUUAAAAUAUGCAAUACUUAAAAUUAAUUCCACCGAGUGAGGCCAAGUCCUUAACAUAUGUGAGUUUGGGGAUCAUUUUAUGUUCAAACAUCAACAUAGG
Molecule: long non-coding RNA, 495 nt
Filed under: Rattus norvegicus (Norway rat)
Lineage: Eukaryota; Metazoa; Chordata; Mammalia; Rodentia; Muridae
Description: long non-coding RNA NONRATT033894
Source: RNAcentral